UCGGAUCAUGCAGCGGGUUUAUCGGGCCGCCAUUCGCCUCAGACUCCUGGCGCUUUUGAGCCAAGAUAGUGUUUUUCUUCGAACAACCCAGUCCCGUUCUAACGUCGAAGCCAGAGCUCAGACUGCCCUACCACGAAUACAAAGGGCCCCGCGAUUUCCUUUAUGAACAUGCGCGUUCUUCCAGUAGCCUCUCAACUUGACAGAUUUUUUUCAUCGCGCAGCGCCGAACUGACUUUGGCACGAACAAAUCGAAUUUGUCAUUAAUUUUGAUUGCUCUUUGAAAGCCUGAAACCAAAUUCACGUCUAUUUCCGUCACGGACGAAAGAAGCCUCGCCUGAACCUUGUCUUCCAUUUCUAAAUUACCCGCCCAUUUGGCUAUUUUUUUCUGCUGCCUUCGGCGUUUGUCCCGUCGCAACCUGUCUACAACAUGAACGUGUCUAACUGCAGCGUCAGAGUAGAGUACCUCAAUUCCCAGAGGAUGCAAUCCAAAUUCAAAAAAAAUACCGAAAUUGCCAUUUCUAGAGAUAAAUGGAACUCCUAUGUCCUACUAGUUGGUGGUCCAAAAGCAAAAAAAUCGUUCAAAGCUGAAAACAACAUCAAGCAAAUUUUCAAAAACUAUGUAGCGGAUGGCAAAGCGACGAUUUCCCUUUUUUUUCCUUUGGUCAAUUUGUAUAUUCAACAAGCAAAAUUCGAGCAGCUGAACAUGUUUCUGACCCUUUUAGAACACUUGCAAGAAAAACCGGACGCUGGUACUUUGUCUUUUCUGUCUGGAUCUAGUAUUUCACUUUUUUUUCUGCCAUUGUGACCUUGAGAUCAAGGUAACUGAGACUUUUCCACUUCGAACUUGUAGAUCUAGAGACUAUAUUCGAACAGUGGAAACUGGAAAACAUCGAUUUAGCUGAAUCGACAGAGAAUGGGGAACAGCUAUACCAUGAAGAGGAUCUUGAAUAGAGUCUGGUGCA
This is a long non-coding RNA of Schistocerca gregaria, 962 nucleotides long. RefSeq lists it as uncharacterized. Lineage: Eukaryota; Metazoa; Arthropoda; Insecta; Orthoptera; Acrididae. The record is from RefSeq and is a predicted model, not a curated record. The transcript is spliced from 3 exons.